Molecule: long non-coding RNA, 654 nt
Filed under: Chinchilla lanigera (long-tailed chinchilla)
Lineage: Eukaryota; Metazoa; Chordata; Mammalia; Rodentia; Chinchillidae
Description: lncRNA (ENSCLAG00000022575.1)
Source: RNAcentral
AGCGGGACCGAAGGGUGGUCACAUACCCGUGCUUUGUGUCCUUUUACUAGAGGACCCUGGCGGUGAUGAGGACCAGGAAUUCUAACUCAGUUAAAAUACAAGAUCACAAACCAAGGCUGAGCACAUGGCCACACACCCACUGCAAUGGCCACAUACCCGCUGCAGAGUGAAUUUGAGUCUCAGGAAGAAAUAGGAUUAGAAGUUUUUUUCAGGGGAAGAUGGGAAAAGGCAACCAAGCAAAGGAAAUGGAUCUUCUCACCCUGGGGAGAAGCCAAGCAUGAUUUGCCAGCCAGAGGACACCACAGCCGCUGCCCCCUGGAAAGAGACCAGCAAUGUUCUGACUGGCUUCCCGGCUUUGAUCUCGUUAGUUCAGCACCGGCCCUGCUGGACCCAGCAAGCUGGAGGAGCUUCCCCUAAACCAAGCCAUGCCAGGCUCCUUGCGAUGGGAGCACAUGGGCAGCACUGAGGUCUCCGAUGGUCAGAACUGUUCAACUCCUAGCCUGACAUUCAAAUCCGGCCAGGCCCAGCUCUCCAGGGACAGCUAUCUUCUGAGAUGAUGUGGGUGUGGUGUUGGAGAUGGAGUGAAGUGCAGGUGAGCCAUAAUACCCUCCUGACCUGCACAGGGCUUGUUAGUCACCCAUCCCUGAUUUGUUU